CCCAGCCCUGCAGCCGGGUUCCUCAGCCUGGCCAGGCUGGUGGUCCAGCUGUCUGCAUCCAGGGGGUAGUGACAGGUGCCCCGUGGGCACCGCCCGGUCUCCGUGGUGAGGCCUUCCACUGGGAAACCUCGAGGGCUCCGAGCUACCCCAGGUGAAUGGUGAACCAAACCACGGUGGACACUACCGCUUUCUUCUGAGAUGGAAUCUGCUGCAGCGGCCAAGCUGGUCUCGUGCUCCUGGGCUGGAGGAGGGACCCUCCUGCCUCGGUCUCCAGUAGCUGAACCUGCAGGUGUGCUGUAUCAUGCCUGUCUUGUGCCAUACAAUAAAAAUGACAGGAGGCCAAGGUUGAGGAGUAAACUUGUGUAGUUGGACCCAGCCAGCGGGACAAAACUCAAAACAGAGCUGCUUGGGGUGAAAUCCCAAUCCCCAGGCUGAAGCUAAGCUGUUUAUCUUGGCCAAGAAAUCAGGGUCAGGGAUGAUGCCGCAUUUCCCAAACAGACUGUGUAGUUCAGCCUGGCCUGGAACUCACUACCAGGAACUCAUGGCGAUCCUCCUGCCUCAGGCUCCCGAGUGCUGGGAUACAGCCGUGCACCACCACACCUGGCUGCACGCAAAUCCCCACUAGGAAGGCGACCCUCUCAGACUGCGGCACCGUCCUGCAGUCCCCUUUCUGGCCACUGGGUGUCAGGCGCGCGCCAUGCAGCUGCCAGCCCGGCGCGAGGGAAGGCGGGCAGCGGUUUGGAGGCGACACUGAGAAGGCAGUUUGCGGACAACCCUGGCUGUGCUUCCUGGGAUGCUUCAGAGGGCCUCGGAAGACCUGAGAGAAGCCCGUGCGCACUGUGAUCCCAGCACGCGGCGAGGCUGAGACAGGAAGAUCACAAGUCUGAGCCCAGCCCGGGCAGUUUAGAGACUUAGCAAGACCCUGUCUCAAAAUAAAAGAUCCAAAAGGGCUGGGAUGUAGCUGAGCUCCAAGGCCCUAGGUUCAAUCCCCAGAACAAAACAGAACAAACAAAAACAAAAAAACCACGCACACAAAACAGAAGGAAACAAAAUAUUAUGGUUUGUGUCUAGCUGUCCCCCCCAAAGCCUUAUUCGGUCACAGGUGGGGCUCUUUCAGAGGAGGCUGCAUCUAGAGUGUGACGCUGGGAUUGAUCCGUGGUGCAGUGCUAGCU
This is a long non-coding RNA of Heterocephalus glaber (naked mole-rat), 1172 nucleotides long. The record is from Ensembl. Lineage: Eukaryota; Metazoa; Chordata; Mammalia; Rodentia; Bathyergidae.